GACGAACGCUGGCGGCGUGCUUAACACAUGCAAGUCGAACGGAAAGGCACUGAUUGUGUGGUGUUCUCGAGUGGCGAACGGGUGAGUAACACGUGAGUAACCUGCCCUUGACUUUGGGAUAACUUCAGGAAACUGAGGCUACUACAGUAUAGGAGCUCCUGUUGCGUGGUGGGGGUUGGAAAGUUUCGGCUGGUGGGGAUGGACUCGCGGCUUACCAGCUUGUUGGUGGGGGAGGGGCUGACCAAGGCUGUGAAGGGUAGCCGGCCUGGGAGGGUGGCCGGCGACAUUGGGACUGAGAGACGGCCCAGACGCCUAUGGGAGGCAGCAGUGGGGAGUAUUGCACAAUGGGCGGGAGUCUGAUGCAGAAACGCCGGGUUCGUGAUGACGGCCUUCGGGUUGUAAACCGCUUUCGCCUGUGACGAAGCGUGAGUGACGGUAAUGGGUAAAGAAGCACCGGCUAACUACGUG
RNAcentral lists this ribosomal RNA (468 nucleotides) under uncultured bacterium. Its description in RNAcentral is "partial 16S ribosomal RNA". It matches the Rfam family "Bacterial small subunit ribosomal RNA", at positions 28 to 507 of the family's 1533-position model. The record is from RNAcentral.